Molecule: RNA transcript, 2410 nt
Organism: Zea mays
Lineage: Eukaryota; Viridiplantae; Streptophyta; Magnoliopsida; Poales; Poaceae
Gene name: putative TCP-1/cpn60 chaperonin family protein
Exons: 14
Source: RefSeq, marked provisional
AACAGUAGAAUCUGUGACGAGAGCCCACCGGGCCGGCACCAGUCAGACUCGAGACUACCAUUCUACAAGCUAUCACAAGAGUGUUGUGGGCUUGUGGCGCAGCAGCAGACGGACGCCAGGUUUUUUUCCUUUUAGACCGCAACCUCAAAACCCUAGCUUGUCCCUCCUGCUCCCAGAUCUCUUCCACUCGGCCACUCCCUAGCACAUCAAACCCUAGCUCCGCCCAGCCCCCAACCAUGUCGGCGAUGAUGCAACCGCAGAUCAUCCUGCUCAAGGAGGGCACGGACACGUCGCAGGGGCGCGCUCAGGUGGUGAGCAAUAUCAACGCGUGCACGGCGGUGGGCGACACCGUGCGGACCACGCUGGGGCCUCGGGGGAUGGACAAGCUCAUCCACGACGACAAGGGCGGAGUCACCAUCUCCAACGACGGCGCCACCAUCAUGCGCCUCCUCGACAUCGUGCACCCCGCCGCCAAGAUCCUUGUCGACAUCGCCAAGUCGCAGGACUCCGAGGUCGGCGAUGGGACAACUACUGUGGUGCUUCUAGCUGCAGAAUUCUUAAAGGAAGCAAAACCUUAUAUCGAGGACGGGGUGCACCCCCACAGUCUAAUUCGCAGUUAUAGAACUGCAGGCAAUAUGGCAAUCCAAAGGGUUAAAGAGCUGGCAGUUAGCAUAGAAGGAAAAAGCCUUGAAGAGAAGAAAUCACUGCUAGCCAAGUGCGCUGCUACAACACUCUCUUCAAAACUUAUAGGUGGUGAAAAAGAAUUCUUUGCUUCUAUGGUUGUGGAUGCUGUCCUUGCCAUUGGCAAUGAUGACAGGCUUAAUCUUAUUGGGAUUAAAAAGGUUCCUGGAGGUACCAUGAGAGACUCUUUUUUGGUGAAUGGUGUUGCGUUCAAGAAGACGUUUUCAUAUGCAGGAUUUGAGCAACAACCAAAGAAGUUCCUUAAUCCAAAGAUUCUUUUGUUAAACAUUGAACUAGAAUUGAAAUCUGAGAAGGAAAAUGCAGAGAUCAGAUUGUCUGACCCUCUGCAAUACCAAUCAAUUGUUGAUGCUGAGUGGAACAUUAUUUAUGACAAACUGGAUAAAUGUGUGAAAAGUGGAGCAAAGAUAGUUCUGUCUCGGCUAGCUAUUGGUGAUCUUGGAACACAGUAUUUUGCAGAUCGAGACAUUUUCUGUGCUGGCCGUGUCACUGAAGAAGAUUUGCAACGUGUUGCUGCAGCAACUGGUGGAACUGUUCAAACUUCUGUAAAUAAUGUCAUCAAUGAUGUACUCGGUUCCUGUGAGGUAUUCGAGGAAAAGCAAGUAGGCAAUGAAAGAUUCAACAUAUUUAGUGGCUGCCCUUCUGGCCAGACAGCGACUAUUGUUCUCCGUGGUGGUGCAGACCAGUUCAUUGAGGAAGCUGAACGAAGUCUCCAUGAUGCCAUCAUGAUUGUGAGGAGAGCACUUAAGAACUCGACAGUUGUGCCGGGUGGUGGUGCUAUUGAUAUGGAAAUAAGCAAGUAUCUCAGGCAGCAUGCACGAACAAUUGCUGGGAAGUCUCAGUUCUUUGUAAAUUCAUUUGCUAAAGCCCUUGAGUGUUCUUAUGGCGUCGCCUAGGCGUCCAGGCGCCCGGGCAAAACUGGUCGCCUUGCUCGCCAUUCCCGCCUAGGCGUCGCCUAGGCGCCGCCUAGGCGCUAAGGCGCCUGUCUGAUCCACUUGCUCGCCUAGGCGCCUUAAGAACACUGGUUGUGCAAGGUAGAGUCCACUCAUUUAACCAUUUUCAAUAAAACCAUCCUGCAGGUUAUUCCACGCCAACUUUGCGAUAAUGCUGGAUUUGAUGCCACUGACGUUCUCAAUAAGCUGAGGCAGAAACAUGCAUCUGGUGAAGGUGCUAAUUAUGGUGUAGACAUAAACACUGGCGGAAUUACUGAUUCCUUUGCAAACUUUGUUUGGGAACCUGCUGUUGUAAAGAUCAAUGCUAUAAAUGCUGCAACCGAAGCUUCCUGCCUUAUUCUUAGCGUCGACGAGACAGUGAAAAACCCAAAGUCGGAGAGCGCACAAGGUGAGGCUGCUGCCGGUGCGAUGGCUGGUCGCGGUCGAGGUGCAAUGCGAGGACGUGGUGGCAGGGGCAUGCGCAGGCGAUAAACUGGGUCAAGUAGAUCAUGGUGAGAUUUUUUUGCAUGUUUGCGAGUGCUUUUGUGCCUUACUGCACAUGUAUGGACGCUGCACUUACUAUUGUGCGCUUUUGGUUGUGAAGCAGUCGUAGACUUUUUUUUUGUUUCAGAAGAGAUGCACCAGGCGUUUAUCAGUGUACCGUCCGCUGGAUGUGUUAUAGUAGACCUGAGCUUUGGAUUCUAAUUUGUUUGACAUUUAUCUUGGUUUAUUGGCUUGUCUUUUGAACAAUGAGAAAAUCAGUGUUGUAGUUUGCGAUC